RNAcentral lists this ribosomal RNA (505 nucleotides) under uncultured bacterium. RNAcentral describes it as "partial 16S ribosomal RNA". It matches the Rfam family "Bacterial small subunit ribosomal RNA", at positions 28 to 507 of the family's 1533-position model. The record is from RNAcentral.
GACGAACGCUGGCGGCGUGCCUAAUACAUGCAAGUGGGACGCAAGGAAACACACUGUGCUUGCACACCGUGUUUUCUUGAGUCGCGAACGGGUGAGUAACGCGUAGGUAACCUGCCUAUUAGCGGGGGAUAACUAUUGGAAACGAUAGCUAAUACCGCAUAAUAUUAAUUAUUGCAUGAUAAUUGAUUGAAAGAUGCAAGCGCAUCACUAGUAGAUGGACCUGCGUUGUAUUAGCUAGUUGGUAAGGUAAGAGCUUACCAAGGCGACGAUACAUAGCCGACCUGAGAGGGUGAUCGGCCACACUGGGACUGAGACACGGCCCAGAAUCCUACGGGAGGCAGCAGUAGGGAAUCUUCGGCAAUGGACGAAAGUCUGACCGAGCAACGCCGCGUGAGUGAAGAAGGUUUUCGGAUCGUAAAGCUCUGUUGUAAGUCAAGAACGUGUGUGAGAGUGGAAAGUUCACACAGUGACGGUAGCUUACCAGAAAGGGACGGCUAACUACGUG